Molecule: ribosomal RNA, 477 nt
Filed under: Acalles dubius
Lineage: Eukaryota; Metazoa; Arthropoda; Insecta; Coleoptera; Curculionidae
Description: partial 16S ribosomal RNA
Source: RNAcentral
CUUUUUGAGUAUAAUUUAAGGUCGGGCCUGCCCAAUGAUUAAAUUAAAUGGCCGCGGUAUAUUGACCGUGCAAAGGUAGCAUAAUAAUUAGUUUUUUAAUUGAAAGCUUGUAUGAAGGGUUUAAUGAGAAAAAUACUGUCUCUAUUUAAAUUUAUUAGAAUUUUAUAUUUAAGUUAAAAAGCUUAAAUUUAUAUUGAAGACGAGAAGACCCUAUAGAGUUUAAUAUUUCAUUUAACAAUUAGUUAUUAAGGAUUUUAAAUAUUAGUUAUUUAAAAUAUUUGGUUGGGGUGACUGAAAAAUUGGUAAAACUUUUUUUGUAUUUUUACAUUGAUUAAUGAGCUGAUGAUCCUUUAUUUAAGAUUAAAAGAUAAAAUUACCUUAGGGAUAACAGCGUAAUUUUUUUUUAGAGUUCUUAUCGAAAGAAAAGAUUGCGACCUCGAAGUUGGAUUAAAAUUAAUUAUUGGWGUAGAAGCUAAW